RNAcentral lists this ribosomal RNA (411 nucleotides) under uncultured bacterium. RNAcentral's name for it is "bacterial SSU rRNA". It matches the Rfam family "Bacterial small subunit ribosomal RNA", at positions 64 to 507 of the family's 1533-position model. The record is from RNAcentral.
GAACGAGAAAGUGGAGCAAUCCAUGAGUAAAGUGGCGACCGGGUGAGUAACACGUGACUAACCUACCUCCGAGUGGGGAAUAACUCCGGGAAACCGGGGCUAAUACCGCAUAACAUCGCAAGAUCAAAGCAGCAAUGCGCUUGGAGAGGGGGUCGCGGCUGAUUAGCUAGUUGGCGGGGUAACGGCCCACCAAGGCGAAGAUCGGUAUCCGGCCUGAGAGGGCGCACGGACACACUGGAACUGAAACACGGUCCAGACUCCUACGGGAGGCAGCAGUGGGGAAUUUUGCGCAAUGGGGGAAACCCUGACGCAGCAACGCCGCGUGGAGGAUGAAGCCCUUUGGGGCGUANACUCCUUUCGACCAAGACGAUAAUGACGGUACUGGUGGAAGAAGCACCGGCUAACUCUGUG